CAAGUCCACGCGGCGAGGUUUGUUUUGUCUUGGAACAGAGGGACGAGGCACACCCUGAAAAAAUGACAUGAGAGGUUUAAUCACCUAGUUCAACCUAGUUACAGGCUUAAAGAAACAUUUUAACAUGCAAUUGUAAUCUGCAAAUUGAGAUGACAAAAGAUGCCCACGGGAGAUUCUAGGUAGAAAAAAAAAUCCAAAAAGAAUUCCUAGUACUUUUCCAGUAAUCAGUAGGUGGAGGACAGAAAAAGGGUAGCUUGCACUCAGGUAUAAAUUCACAAAAAAGAUAAAACCAUGGCAUUUUCAUGUGCAACUAUAGUACCAUGAUCUGUGGGCAAAAACAGAGCCCUGAAACCCCCCCCCCCCCUCUUUCAAAAAUAAAGGCUGAAAGUGUAAUUUAAUGAUUUUCCUAGUGGGACAAGCAUCUCAACCACUGGUGUGGAAUGGUUUGGGAACAAAGGAUAACCUAGAUACCAAGGCUCAAAGCGGUUUGGUUCGCCCUACUGCAAAUGACCUGAUGGCUCAGGUACAUAAGCUUCCGACAGCAUAUAAGUGAUGUCGUAACACAUUAUACUCAACUAUAGAAAGAAUCGCUACACUAAAUGGUCACUCUUCAUGUAGUUCCAGCUCAAAGUUAUUACUGAGU
This 643-nucleotide long non-coding RNA is filed under the name Setaria viridis. RNAcentral describes it as "long non-coding RNA (SVIR_LNC007569)". Lineage: Eukaryota; Viridiplantae; Streptophyta; Magnoliopsida; Poales; Poaceae. The record is from RNAcentral.